Molecule: ribosomal RNA, 371 nt
Filed under: uncultured organism
Description: partial 16S ribosomal RNA
Rfam family: Bacterial small subunit ribosomal RNA
Source: RNAcentral
GUAGGUGGCAAGCGUUGUCCGGAAUUAUUGGGCGUAAAGCGCGCGCAGGGCGGUCCUUUAAGUCUGAUGUGAAAGCCACGGCUCAACCGUGAGGGUCAUUGGAAACUGGGGGACUUGAGUACAGAAGAGGAAAGCGGAAUUCCAAGUGUAGCGGUGAAAUGCGUAGAGAUUUGGAGGAACACCAGUGGCGAAGGCGGCUUUCUGGUCUGUAACUGACGCUGAGGCGCGAAAGCGUGGGGAGCAAACAGGAUUAGAUACCCUGGUAGUCCACGCCGUAAACGAUGAGUGCUAAGUGUUAGGGGGUUUCCGCCCCUUAGUGCCGCAGCUAACGCAUUAAGCACUCCGCCUGGGGAGUACGGCCGCAAAGGCUG